GUGGGGAAUAUUGGACAAUGGGCGAAAGCCUGAUCCAGCCAUGCCGCGUGUGUGAAGAAGGUCUUCGGAUUGUAAAGCACUUAAGUUGGGAGGAAGGGCAGUAAGUUAAUACCUUGCUGUUUUGACGUUACCGACAGAAUAAGCACCGGCCAACUUCGUGCCAGCAGCCGCGGUAAUACGAAGGGUGCAAGCGUUAAUCGGAAUUACUGGGCGUAAAGCGCGCGUAGGUGGUUUUGUAAGUUGGAGGUGAAAUUCACGGGCUCAACCUGGGAACUGCCUCCAAAACUGCAUGACUAGAGUACGGUAGAGGGUAGUGGAAUUUCCUGUGUAGCGGUGAAAUGCGUAGAUAUAGGAAGGAACACCAGUGGCGAAGGCGACUACCUGGACUGAUACUGACACUGAGGUGCGAAAGCGUGGGGAGCAAACAGGAUUAGAUACCCUUGUAGUCC
RNAcentral lists this ribosomal RNA (449 nucleotides) under uncultured bacterium. RNAcentral's name for it is "partial 16S ribosomal RNA". It matches the Rfam family "Bacterial small subunit ribosomal RNA", at positions 354 to 796 of the family's 1533-position model. The record is from RNAcentral.